RNAcentral lists this long non-coding RNA (507 nucleotides) under Homo sapiens (human). RNAcentral's name for it is "non-protein coding lnc-BRI3BP-8:1". The record is from RNAcentral. Lineage: Eukaryota; Metazoa; Chordata; Mammalia; Primates; Hominidae.
ACUCUCCAUCUCGUUCCCUGCCACUGAAUGGAGGCUCUCCAGGAUGGCGGGGCCACCGGGGCCCUGGAACCCUAAAUGACUGCAGGGAGCAGAGCUCUGCCUCCCCAUCAACCCACUUCAGAUUCGGCUAUGCCUGAAACGCAGAUGCAAGGGCUGGAGCUCUGCAGACACUGGGACCAGAGGUGACCUUGAGGAUGGAAGCCAUGUGUUGGGAAAAUGGAACAGAAAGAUGAGUGGAACUUGGACUAUGAAUGUCUCUUGCCAUACUUGGACUGUCUGCCUCCAGACAUCCUCUAAAAGAAGAUUUUUAAAAUAACAAUAUACCUUUGUCCCAUUUGAGCCACAACUGUUGAGUUUACUGAUCUAUACUGCCAAACCUAAUUCCACCAAUAUACCUCACGACCCAGCAAUUACGCUCUUCAGAAACUGCCCUAGAGAUGCUCACACAUGCACACAGAGGCACAAAGAUGUUCAGUGUUGCUUGGACUAGCAAAGACAAACAGACAA